RNAcentral lists this ribosomal RNA (369 nucleotides) under uncultured Sphingobacteriales bacterium. RNAcentral's name for it is "bacterial SSU rRNA". It matches the Rfam family "Bacterial small subunit ribosomal RNA", at positions 1014 to 1382 of the family's 1533-position model. The record is from RNAcentral. Lineage: Bacteria; Pseudomonadati; Bacteroidota; Sphingobacteriia; Sphingobacteriales.
UACUUCUUCGGACAAUAUACAAGGUGCUGCAUGGUUGUCGUCAGCUCGUGCCGUGAGGUGUCGGGUUAAGUCCCAUAACGAGCGCAACCCUACUCAUUAGUUGCCAUCAGGUCAAGCUGGGGACUCUAAUGAAACUGCCUACGCAAGUAGUGAGGAAGGUGGGGAGUGACGUCAAAUCAGCACGGCCCUUACGUCCAGGGCUACACACGUGCUACAAUGGCCGGUACAAAGGGCAGCUACCUGGUGACAGGAUGCUAAUCUCAAAAGCCGGUCUCAGUUCGGAUCGGAGUCUGCAACCCGACUCCGUGAAGCUGGAAUCGCUAGUAAUCGUGGAUCAGCCAAGCCGCGGUGAAUACGUUCCCGGGCCUU